AGGGUGCAAGCGUUACUCGGAAUUACUGGGCGUAAAGCGUGCGUAGGCGGUUUGUUAAGUCUGUUGUGAAAGCCCUGGGCUCAACCUGGGAAUUGCGAUGGAUACUGGCAAGCUAGAGUACGGUAGAGGAUGGUGGAAUUCCCAGUGUAGAGGUGAAAUUCGUAGAUAUUGGGAAGAACACCGGUGGCGAAGGCGGCGAGCUGGUCCAUUACUGACGCUGAGGCGCGACAGCGUGGGGAGCAAACAGG
Molecule: ribosomal RNA, 248 nt
Filed under: uncultured bacterium
Lineage: Bacteria
Description: partial 16S ribosomal RNA
Rfam family: Bacterial small subunit ribosomal RNA
Source: RNAcentral